AAAUUACAACGGAGUAUGUUCAUUUCAUAAGUCUCACUUCGGAGUUCACAGUCCAGGGCAGAGUCUCUUCAACGAAACACCCUUGAUGCUGGAAGUGAUGGAAAGGGAGAGUGGCAGACCCAAUUAAUUCUAUCUGACUGUUGUUGGACUGAUCGAAGCUGUGGUUAAUCUUUCAAGUCUGUACAGGGAAAAUGGCUACUUUAGUUCCAACAUCCUUAAUCAUAUCCUUCUCUUGCAAUCCCUUUCCCUCUACUUUCUCAGCCAUGAAAAUCAAAUACCCAGUUGGUGUUUCUUCAUGGAUUCUUAGGUCUUGUGGGCGUAAACAUGGUCAUGGGUUUGUGGGUUCUCUUAAGGCUGCGAUUUCAGGAAGAGCAGAAGGUACUUUCGAUCCUGAGCUGCGGUCAGUGCUCGAACUAGCUACAGACUCAGAGUUGUAUGAGCUCGAAAGAAUUCUCUUUGGCCCGAGCUACUUCAGUCCGCUUUUAAAGUCAUUGACGAAAAGGGCCGAAGAUGACUAUAUUAUGCUUGGAGAGGAUUACGAGGACCGUCAAUAUUUUACAGAGCUUCUGGAGUCGCGAUUUCUAUUCCUUGCAGCGGAUGCACGAUCUACAUUAAGGGGUUGGAGACCUACUUACAGGGAUGUCUUGCUCGAUGUGAGGAGAAAACUAAGAGUCCCUUGUUCGAGCAAACUGACUACCGAAGAUCUAGAAGUGGAGAUUUUUCUUCAUCUGUUGCAAGAUUACUCGAGUCAUGAAUCAGGCACCAUUCUGGGCUCCUUGGAAAGCUCUAAGAUUUCCAGAAGCCAUGGUAGCCUAGAACUCGGACUCAGUCAAUGGAAGGUUCAAGCCCUUGCUGCUUUAAAAGUUGGGGCUGCAGAGCUCCAGUCAACGUUUUUAAAGGGUGGUGGUGUGCUUACUCUGGGAAAGAUCUUUCAGUUGUUGGCAAGGGGCUUAUCGGGAAAGAUGCUAUUAGAAGCUGCCAACUAUCAAAUAAAGCAUGAACUUGUCAAGAAGGGUGGACGGAUGGCAGCCCUUAAUCUGGAGUCGAGAGCAGCCCUGCUUGCAGCAAGACAGGGUUUUGCAGGAGCAGCAUCCAGAUAUCUGGGGCUUAGAAGCAUGAUGAUGCUGCUUGGACCAAUGCUGUGGGGAACAUUUCUGGCAGACGUUGUUAUCCAAAUGCUUGGAACUGAUUAUGCUAGAAUUCUGGGAGCAAUUUAUGCAUUUGCACAGAUCCGCCUCAUCCGCACUUAUGGUUUGAAAACUGAUGACGACGAAUCAAUUUAGUAUUUUAGAAAGGUUGCACUAUUUUAUUCUGUAAGAGGAUGAUUGGGAACCCUACUGGUUCUUAUACUGCUUUGCAUUGCUAAUAAAGGCUUUGCAAGUUAACAAAGUGAAGAUGUCAGUUGAUUUAUGUCUAAACUUGCAUUCAAAUGGAUGGAUGAAACCUCCAAGAAUCUCUGUACUAUAAUUGAGGAUAUUUCUGUGGAUGUAAAUAUGAACGUUGAUAAGCUGGUCAUUGGCAGUUUUUGUAAGGUGUGCACAUCAGAGAAUGUCUUUAGCUCAGUAAUUCAGAUUACUUAAAUGUAUUUGUUUACAGGUUAAUGUAGACUCGUACAAAUUAAUUGAAGUUAUUCAUUGUUCCCUUAA
Macadamia integrifolia is the source of this 1646-nucleotide RNA transcript. RefSeq lists it as uncharacterized. The record is from RefSeq and is a predicted model, not a curated record. The transcript is spliced from 13 exons. NCBI's taxonomy places the organism in Eukaryota, Viridiplantae, Streptophyta, Magnoliopsida, Proteales, Proteaceae.